This 427-nucleotide ribosomal RNA is filed under the name uncultured Parachlamydia sp. RNAcentral describes it as "bacterial SSU rRNA". It matches the Rfam family "Bacterial small subunit ribosomal RNA", at positions 355 to 774 of the family's 1533-position model. The record is from RNAcentral. Lineage: Bacteria; Pseudomonadati; Chlamydiota; Chlamydiia; Parachlamydiales; Parachlamydiaceae.
UCGAGAAUCUUUCGCAAUGGGCGAAAGCCUGACGAAGCGACGCCGUGUGAGCGAUGAAGGCCUUAGGGUUGUAAAGCUCUUUCGCCUGUGAACAAGAGAAGGUAGCUAAUAUCUAUCUAAUUUGAGCGUAGCAGGUAAAGAAGCACCGGCUAACUCUGUGCCAGCAGCUGCGGUAAUACAGAGGGUGCAAGCAUUAAUCGGAUUUAUUGGGCGUAAAGAGCGCGCAGGCGGGCUUUUAAGUCAGAUGUGAAAUCCCGGGGCUCAACCCCGGAACAGCAUUUGAAACUGAGAGUCUUGAGGGUAGUCGGAGAAAGUGGAAUUCCACGUGUAGCGGUGAAAUGCGUAGAUAUGUGGAAGAACACCGGUGGCGAAGGCGACUUUCUAGAUUAUUCCUGACGCUGAGGCGCGAAAGCAAGGGGAUCAAACA